GUGGUCGUAGCUCAAUGGUAGAGUCCAGGCUUGUGGAGCCUGUUGUUGCGGGUUCGAAUCCCGUCGGCCACCCCA
Molecule: transfer RNA, 75 nt
Filed under: Pedosphaera sp.
Lineage: Bacteria; Pseudomonadati; Verrucomicrobiota; Pedosphaerae; Pedosphaerales; Pedosphaeraceae
Also listed under: 1 other name
Description: tRNA-His
Rfam family: tRNA
About the family: Transfer RNA (tRNA) molecules are approximately 80 nucleotides in length.
Source: RNAcentral